AGCUGAUAAAUGAAGUAUAUUAUGAUGACUCGGUGGGUCAUUAUUUCCGAUCUAAAUUAUAUUUACAUUUUCUACCAUAAAAAUGACAAUAUUUAACUUAAACAGAGAUACACAUCGUAAGAAGUUGUGUCCACUUAAAUGUACAAGUAUACACUAGAUAAAGGUCAUGAGGGAAAGUUGUGGGCAGACAGUAACAUAGCAGUGUAGUCAGACAAUGUUACACCUUAAACAGGUAAUUAUGUACCUGUAAUCUGUGGUGACGUAAACUGGUGUUUUACCUUUCAAAUAAUUGCAUGUUUAUUGCAGAAAAAACUUUUCGUGAUGAGGGAUGUGUUGGUGCGGAACAUAACAUAACUUUAUAUUCCGAUUUCAUUGUUUGAAUAAGGCGGAAUUUUAUAUUUGUGAGGAAAUAAUUUUACUUCGACAAUUAAAUUAUAAAGCAAGGUCAGUAUGUCAAUUAUAUUUGUCAUGGUAACAUUAACUUUACAUUUUAUACCAAUUAAGGUACUGUACAUAUUUUAUAUAUAAAGAACACAACAAUAUACGAGGAACUGACUGGAGUAUGACACUCUGCUGUGCGCAAUACUAUGAAUAUAUGGAAGUUUGAAUGAUAUUUGUACAAUAGAGAAAAGUUGUCAAAAAUUGCUAAAAAAGGAUCAAGAAAAAUAAAGAAUAGAGAAAACUUGACCAAGAAAAUUAAGAAUAGAGGAAAAUGGACCAAGAAAUUAGAUUAAAGAAUAGAGAAUGUUUGGGUGCUAAAACAUAUAAAAGAAUAAAAAGAUGUGAGCUAAAAAAAAUAUAGAAUAC
Molecule: long non-coding RNA, 807 nt
Filed under: Mytilus galloprovincialis (Mediterranean mussel)
Lineage: Eukaryota; Metazoa; Mollusca; Bivalvia; Mytilida; Mytilidae
Source: RNAcentral